Molecule: long non-coding RNA, 3169 nt
Filed under: Elaeis guineensis (African oil palm)
Lineage: Eukaryota; Viridiplantae; Streptophyta; Magnoliopsida; Arecales; Arecaceae
Description: long non-coding RNA (EGUI_LNC032333)
Source: RNAcentral
GGGCCAAGAUUCUAAACUCAUAUAGAAUGUGCCAAAAAUUGAAAAUGAUGUUGGAUGUGCAAAAUGAAAAGGAGUGUGUAUUUUUUAUGCAAAAUCCUCUCAAAAGGCAAUACUUCAUGUUGGAUGUGCAAAAUGAAAAGGAGUGUGUAUUUUUUAUGCAAAAUCCUCUCAAAAGGCAAUACUUGCUUUCUAGCAUUUUAACGUUAGUCUGACUAGAUUAAGGGGAAGGGGAAGGGGAAGGGGAAGGGGAACUUCUCAACCUAAGAGACUGUACAAAUUCUUAUAAGAUAACCAUUUCUGCGGGAAGAAAGAGCUCAUCAUAACAGAUUCAGUUCCGAAACUUGAAAGAGCAAGACAAAAUAAAUUCUAUGGCGAACGAGAAGCUCCCAGAUUCAGUUCCGAAACUUGAAAGAGCAAGACAAAAUAAAUUCUAUGGCGAACGAGAAGCUCCCAGCUCGAAUAACAUACAUUGCCUUUCAUCAGAUGUACCAAUUCCUCUUUCCAAUAAUAAUAAUACAGCAAAAGAAAAAUUNNNNNNNNNNNNNNNNNNNNAAAAAAAAUAGUUAGGCCCUAGCUGCAAUAUAAUUAAUACCGAUUAAGCUUUAAAUGGAUCGAGGUAAAAAAUAAUUUAUAAAAUAAAUUUACUAAUCGAAAUUAUAUUCGAUGGAGAUUUUUCGAUGUCUAAAUUAAUGAGAAAUGGUGAACAAGAUAUUUAAUAUAGAAUUCAGUAAAAUUUUAGUCCAGAUAUCUCUUAUCAUUGUUAUUUUUUUACUUCUUUUUUAUAGACAAUUCUAGUAUAACUAUUGAAUACGUAGAGUUUUAUUUUUUAUGACACUAAAGGAUAGUUAAUCUCUAGUAUUAGACUAUAAUCAUAGAGUUAGUCAUCAGUUUAUGUACACUAAUGAUCGUGGCAUGUAGUUAUUACCUACGAUUGUGAUAUCAUGAUUGUAUAUUAGGCAGUCGAUCGUGACAAUUAGCCAUGAUGGUCAGUCGGUCAAGAGACAAUCGGUCAUUAUGAUGUUGGUUCAGUCAUGAAGAUGUUGCUUCGAUUAUAAUGAUCAAUCGGUCAUUAAGCAGUCAGUCAUGAAGAUGUUGCUUCGAUCAUGAUGGUCAGUCGGUCAUAAUGACUCUACUUUGAUCAUGGUGACUUUGCUUCGAUCAUGAUAGUUAGUCGGUCAUGAAAAUGGUGCUUCAGUCAUGAUGGUCAGCCGAUCAUGAUGACUGCUUCGAUCAUAAUGACUUUGCUUCGAUCAUGAUGGUCUGUCGAUCAUUAAGCAGUCGGCCAUAAAGAUGCUAUUUUGAUCAUGAUAGUCAGUCGGCCAUGAAGAUGCUGCUUCGAUCGUGAUAGUCAGUCAGUCAGUCAUGAUGGUCAAUCGACGAUGAAGAUGUUGCUUCGAUCAUGAUAGUCAGUCGGUCAUGAAGAUGCUGCUCAUGAAAGUUGAAUCGUGGAUGUUUUUUGCCUUCAGAGCCUUCUUUUUUGGGAUCUCUUGACUUUUCUUGUAUAGAUGUGGAGCAAAUGGCCGAUCUCGAAUCGAAGGAAGCAGAUUCGAUUAACCCAACAGUUAUUCCUCACUCCCAAGUCCAAAAUGAUCUGAUACGUUGGACAAUGGAAGUUAGUGUAUCUUCUGUUAUAACUUCGAGCUUCGAUUCUGCGAUCGUUUCAAUUGAUAAUGAAAAAAAAUUUUAAAUAUCUUUUUUCUUAAUAUGAUUAUUAUUGAUCGUUGAUGACUGUUGCUAAUUUAGUCGAAUAGCAAUCGAAUAUCUUUCAAUCGACUAAAAUCGGAUCAACAUAUUUUUCAUUCAAUCAUAGUCAAAUCGGCAUAUCUUUUAUCAGAUCAUAGUUGAGUCAGCAUACUAUUUUAUCCAAUUAUAAAAAAAAAUUUCCUAUCGCUAUUCCAUCUAACCGUAAAAAUUUUAUCCUUGCAAUAGGGAUUUGAAGGAUCCUUUGGAGUAUUAGUAACAGAUGGAGGAGAUGUCACGCUAUUGUGUGUUCUUUAUUUUUUUCCUCUUAAAUAAUUAUUUGGUGUAUAUAGGUAUAGGAAAGUGGAAGACGCCACCUCUAACGUGGAGAUGUCAAGCGGGAGAGGCCACCGCUAUCGUCGAUGGGGCCAAGAUUCUAAACUCAUAUCGAAUGUGCCAAAAAUUGAAAAUGAUGUUGGAUGUGCAAAAUGAAAAGGAGUGUGUAUUUUUUAUGCAAAAUCCUCUCACUGACUAGAUUAAGGGGAAGGGGAAGGGGAACUUCUCAACCUAAGACACUGUACAAAUUCUUAUAAGAUAACCAUUUCUGCGGGAAGAAAGAGCCCAUCAUAACAGAUUCAGUUCCGAAACUUGAAAGAGCAAGACAAAAUAAAUUCUAUGGCGAACGAGAAGCUCCCAGCUCGAAUAACAUACAUUGGCUUUCAUCACAUGUACCAAAUCCUCUUUCCAAUAAUAAUAAUACCGCAAAAGAAAAAUCNNNNNNNNNNNNNNNNNNNNGGUAGGAAUAAUGUAGUUCGCAUCUACCGACUGGUUUAUAUAAUUGAUAGGUUUUUUUUCGGUGAGAUACAUAAUUGAUAGGUUAUUAGCUACAGGGAGUAGGAAAGUGACAAGUGGAAAGCAAACAGAAAUUCUAGAAAGGGGAGACUUACACCGUCACAUGUUAUUUCCGUCAAGGUGGAAAAUUGUGGUUGUACUCGGGAGGAAGUACCAAUCAGCUACCGAAAAAGAAAAAAAGAUGGGUAUUGCAUGCACCAGGUGCAAUUGGACCGCGCAAAUUCCACGGUGGAUAACAUGCCAUGCGAUCCCUUGUAUUUCACUGUUUGCCGAUUGCGCGCUGUCCACCGUGCAUAUGCUUUGAAAUUUGUCCCGAUUCACUUGCAUCUGGUGCGAAUGAUGGAUAGCGCGCAAUCAAAAAUUGGUGAACAACAUAUUCUGGAGUUGCUGCAAUCCUCUCUUACCAUGGUUGUUCAUGUGGUUUAAUUAUUAUUUGGACCAAAUCCGAUGGACCACGUCAAAUCCCACGGUGGAUAACAAGCCACAUUACCCGCUUAUAUUUCACCAGUUCCCGAUUGUGCGUUAUCCACCGUGCAAAUGGUCUGAGAUUAGCCCAGGUCCACUUGGACUGGUCCAUGGAAUAGUGCCUGUGACAUAACAAGCUUCAUGCAAUGGAAGCCUCGCGGAUAAAAAUGCC